Molecule: ribosomal RNA, 303 nt
Filed under: uncultured bacterium
Lineage: Bacteria
Description: partial 16S ribosomal RNA
Rfam family: Bacterial small subunit ribosomal RNA
Source: RNAcentral
AGCAGCCGCCACGGGAAUACGUAGGUGGCAAGUGUUGUCCGGAAUUAUUGGGCGUAAAGGGCUCGCAGGCGGUUUCUUAAGUCUGAUGUGAAAGCCCCCGGCUCAACCGGGGAGGGUCAUUGGAAACUGGGAAACUUGAGUGCAGAAGAGGAGAGUGGAAUUCCACGUGUAGCGGUGAAAUGCGUAGAGAUGUGGAGGAACACCAGUGGCGAAGGCGACUCUCUGGUCUGUAACUGACGCUGAGGAGCGAAAGCGUGGGGAGCGAACAGGAUUAGAUACCCGAGUAGUCCCUGUCUCUUAUAC